CCUACGGGAGGCAGCAGUGGGGAAUAUUGCACAAUGGGGGAAACCCUGAUGCAGCGACGCCGCGUGAGUGAAGAAGUAUCUCGGUACGUAAAGCUCUAUCAGCAGGGAAGAAAAUGACGGUACCUGACUAAGAAGCCCCGGCUAACUACGUGCCAGCAGCCGCGGUAAUACGUAGGGGGCAAGCGUUAUCCGGAGUUACUGGGUGUAAAGGGAGCUGAGACGGCAGCACAAGUCUGGAGUGAAAUCCCGGGGCUUAACCCCGGAACUGCGUUGGAAACUGUGCGGCUGGAGUGCAGGAGGGGAAAGCGGAACUCCUAGUGUAGCGGGGAAAUGCGUAGAUAUUAGGAGGAACACCAGUGGCGAAGGCGGCUUACUGGACUGUAACUGACGUUGGGGCUCGAAAGCGUGGGGAGCAAACAGGAUUAGAUACCCUUGUAGUC
RNAcentral lists this ribosomal RNA (440 nucleotides) under uncultured bacterium. Its description in RNAcentral is "partial 16S ribosomal RNA". It matches the Rfam family "Bacterial small subunit ribosomal RNA", at positions 338 to 795 of the family's 1533-position model. The record is from RNAcentral.